CCCACUACAUACAGCCCCCCUUUCGCACCUUUUGUGCACCUCUCUCCAUAACUAUUCUCUCUCUCUCUCUCUCUCUCUCUCUCUCUCUCUCUCUCUCUCUCUGAGUUUAUUCCUCCACCUCGAGACUACUUUUCCAAUGGAUACCAAGUGUGUCAAAGCCUCUGUUCAUGGUUUUGUUGUUGUAGGUAUUUACAGGUGGUCUUGCUUCAUAUCUCGUUUUCUCUCUCUUUUAUUUUCUCCCUAUCUCAAGUGUUUUCUCUCAAACCCUUUGGGUUUCCCUCUCAGAGACACACUCUCUUUUUGUUUUGAACCGCAAUGAACAAAGGCCUAGAGACAACCUCUCACCACCAAGGGCAUCAAAUUAGUUCCCAGGCAACAUUGUUUAACUCAUGAAGCCCGAUCGAUCACCACUUUGGGACUAGGUUGUGUUAUUCCUAGAGUUCGAGUUCAAGGCUUAGGUAAGUAGUGCAAGAGUUAGGUAAGCAGUGCUCCUAUGCUAGGCUUGGUUUAAAUAGACUGAGAUUGAUUUUAUGAAAAACUUGCAUAUUUUGUUAUGGAACAUUGGAAACAACCUCGAUAAUUUUUUCUGCAUAAUUCACUGUAUCUAAGAAAAAAAAUAUUUUUAUCAUGAUUGAUGUAGACAUGAGCAUUUUUGGGACACUAUUUCUCAAAUGUAUAAAAAGACUGAAAAUGAAAUUUUAAAGUUUUAUACAAUGAUAUGAAUAUAAUAUGUAUCUGUUUAGUACUCUGUUAUGAUAUGAUGUUGCAUAUAAAAUCUUUUGGCAUGACAUUCUAUUUCUGCUUUUUGUUUCAACCUUACGAUAGGUGUAAAACUAUGGCCUCUGUUAUUGUGUUGUACCAACAUCUCUGUUUCUAAGUGCACCCACUUUGGAAACAAAGUAGUUUUCUGCAUGGUCUUUUCUAUUGCACACUCGGGGCUCUAGGAAUGAUAAGAGAAAGAUUUUACUUAUGUUUCUUUCUGGUUUGGCCAAUGGGGAUAGAACAACUCUACCGCAAGGAUUAAAUAUGGAAUAUGUUCUGAUAUGAUGCUACUUAGUUAUGCUAUACAAAUAUUUAUAAAUUUUCGCUCUGAUAUCUUGAUAAUAUGUUUUCUUUUUCAGUUUAUAAUUGGCUUAUGUUUACAUACUAGUAUAUGUUUAUUACUUACUGAGUUGUUGAUAACUCAGCCAAUUACAUUCAAUAUUCUAGAUGAUUUUGAUAGUUCAACAGAGAAUCGAGAAUGUGAAGCAUGGGCCAGACUAGUUGGACAUAGAAGACAAAGUACCAAAAGAGUAUUUUGAAUUGUUGGAUAGUAUUACUCUGUAGAUUUGGUUUUGUUGAUUUGGUAUUUGGGAUGUUGACGAUAUUAUUGAGACUUUUUGGAGUUGUUAAUUAAUUUUAUUAGAAUGUUUCCUUGAUGUCCUCGUAGAGAAACAUGUAUGUUUGGUUUGAACAAAUGAGGUUACGCUUCAUGGGGUGUUUGAAGUAUAUAUA
Molecule: long non-coding RNA, 1494 nt
Organism: Carya illinoinensis
Lineage: Eukaryota; Viridiplantae; Streptophyta; Magnoliopsida; Fagales; Juglandaceae
Exons: 3
Source: RefSeq, a predicted model, not a curated record